AAAAAUGCAAAGUGGGGAUGUCACUCAUACAAUGGGCAAAUAAUGAAUGGCAUGUGACAUAUAAUCCACCAAUCAAAUUACAAGGAUCUAUUUAGGUGCCACAUAAAGCCAGAUAACUACAAUGGUCAUCCACGUUCCUUGAUGUCGUGAUCCAAACCUCAAGGUUACACAUAUAAACUGCAUGAAUUUA
Long non-coding RNA from Thalassophryne amazonica, 190 nucleotides. RefSeq lists it as uncharacterized. The record is from RefSeq and is a predicted model, not a curated record. NCBI's taxonomy places the organism in Eukaryota, Metazoa, Chordata, Actinopteri, Batrachoidiformes, Batrachoididae. The transcript has 3 exons.